This 640-nucleotide ribosomal RNA is filed under the name uncultured marine eukaryote. RNAcentral describes it as "SSU rRNA". It matches the Rfam family "Eukaryotic small subunit ribosomal RNA", at positions 617 to 1266 of the family's 1831-position model. The record is from RNAcentral.
GGUUAAAAAGCUCGUAGUUGGAUUUCUGUUGAGGGCGACCGGUGUACACCUCGUGUAUUAUUUGGUUCGGUCUCGGCAUCCUCUUGGGGAACGUUUCUGGACUUUAUUGGACAGGGCGAGAUUCAAGACUUUUACUUUGAGGAAUAGAGUGUUCACGGCAGGCAAGCGCUUUGAAUACAUAGCAUGGAAUAAUAAUAUAGGACCUUCGUUCUAUUUUGUUGGUUUCUAGAACUUAGGCAAUGAUUAAUAGGGACAAUUGGGGGCAUUCGUAUUAACGCGUCAGAGGUGGAAUUCUUGGAUUGCGUUACGACGAACUACUGCGAAAGCAUUUGCCAAAGAUGUUUUCAUUGAUCAAGAACGAAAGUAUGGGGAUCGAAGACGCUUAGAUACCGUCGUAGUCUAUACCAUAAACUAUGCCAACUAGAGAUUGGUGGGGUUCUCCUAUUUGGCUCCAUCAGCAUCUUAUGAGAAAUCAAAGUCUUUGGGUUCCGGGGGGAGUAUGGCCGCAAGGCUGAAACUUAAAGGAAUUGACGGAAGGGCACCACCAGGAGUGGAGCCUGCGGCUUAAUUUGACUCAACACGGGAAAACUUACCAGGUCCAGACAUAGUAAGGAUUGACAGAUUGAUAGCUCUUUCUGAU